Molecule: transfer RNA, 84 nt
Filed under: Lachnospiraceae bacterium
Lineage: Bacteria; Bacillati; Bacillota; Clostridia; Lachnospirales; Lachnospiraceae
Description: tRNA-Leu
Rfam family: tRNA
About the family: Transfer RNA (tRNA) molecules are approximately 80 nucleotides in length. Their secondary structure includes four short double-helical elements and three loops (D, anti-codon, and T loops).
Source: RNAcentral
GCCGGUGUGUCGGAAUCGGCAGACGAGGCAGACUCAAAAUCUGUUGAUGGCAACAUCGUGCGGGGGCAAGUCCCGCCACCGGCA